Molecule: transfer RNA, 107 nt
Filed under: Drechslerella stenobrocha 248
Lineage: Eukaryota; Fungi; Ascomycota; Orbiliomycetes; Orbiliales; Orbiliaceae
Rfam family: tRNA
About the family: Transfer RNA (tRNA) molecules are approximately 80 nucleotides in length. Their secondary structure includes four short double-helical elements and three loops (D, anti-codon, and T loops).
Source: Rfam by way of RNAcentral
AGCCCAAUAACUCAGUGGUAGAGUGUCGUUCUUAUAUGGAGAAUCUGAGAAAUCAGCUUCAUAUGCCAGAAAUGCGAAGGUCGCGGGUUCGAGCCCCGUUUGGACUA